CCCUUAGAUGUCCUGGGCUGCACGCGCGCUACACUGAUGUGUCCAGUAAGCACCUAACCUCUUCCGAAAGGAACGGGUAACCUUUGCAAAGCACAUCGUGAUGGGGAUAGAUUAUUGCAAUUAUUAGUCUUGAACGAGGAAUUCCUAGUAAACGCGAGUCAUCAGCUCGCAUUGAUUACGUCCCUGCCCUUUGUACACACCGCCCGUCGCACCUACCGAUUGAAUGUUUCGGUGAAGAUUCCGGAUAGGACUUUUUUGAUUUAUUUCAAUUUUGUCUUAAAAGCUAUCUAAACCUCAACAUUUAGAGGAAGGUGAAGUCGUAACA
Molecule: ribosomal RNA, 325 nt
Filed under: uncultured eukaryote
Lineage: Eukaryota
Description: partial 18S ribosomal RNA
Rfam family: Eukaryotic small subunit ribosomal RNA
Source: RNAcentral